CCUUGUGAGCUGCAGCCCUCUGCUCGUCCACUUAACUGUAUUCUCGUGGUCUGACUCUUCUUUGCGUCCUGAACAACUCCAACAUAAUACUACUGCUAUUAGACUGCUAAUACCACACCAGCACCACUGAUACCACUGAUACUAUGGCAUACUUUUGCUGCCACAACUGCUGCCACUGUUGCUACUAUUAUUGCUAUUACUAUGAUGGUCCUGCUGCUGUUGCUAUUGCUAUUAUUUAUUUAUUUAUAUUUAUCUUUGCAGUACUAGGGCUUGAACCCAAGGCCUUUGCACUGAUGUACAUUCCUAGCCCUUUUUAUGUUUUAUUUUGAGACAGGGUCUCCCUAAGAUGCCCAGGCGAGGCUAGAAGUUGUGACCCUCCUGCCUCAGUCUCCCAGACUACUGAGAUUAUAGAUGGGAGCAGCUUCGUGGAAGAUGAGGUUCAUCAUGCUGGAUAUGUGGUAACCAUGAAGGAUGAGGUGAUCCUAGCUGGGGCCCCUUCCUAUUGGCUGUUUGGCACAGCGUGCUGAGCUCUGGGCCCUCAUACAGGCACUCUGAUGGUCAAAGGGUAAAAAAGUAAAUAUAUGUACAGACUCUCGCUAUGCGUUUGCUACAUCACACAUCCAUGGCAUGAUUUACUGAGAGUGAGGUCUUCUCAAGGCAGAAGGGAAGCAAAUUAAAAAUAAACAGGAAAUUAUACAGUUGCUAGAGGCAGUGUGGGAACUUAGCAAAGUUGCAGUAAUACAUUGUUCAGGAGAUCAGAAAGGCAAAGACUUCAUUGCACAAGAUAACAAUAAGGCUGACGCUGAAAGCUGAGAAAGACAACAUACUCAAAGCCCUGUUCUCACCACUCCAGAAGCUUGUGAGCCAAAACACAGCUGAAGAAUGGGAGCACCAACAAGGAUGACAUGGAUUAUUGUGUUAUGCCAGAUCACCACUGCUUUAAGUUUCUUUGUUUUCGAACUGCAGGUGUUUAGGCUUAGUAAUGAAAAGUUUGAUGAACACUAUGUGACUUUUAAAAUGGUAAAAUGGGAAUCAGAAGGCUAUCCAUUUACAGUAUUCUUUGAUGCUUGCCCAAAAGAAUAUUAUGGGGGACCUGGGGUAACUUCUGACUGUGGGGGCUAUUCUAUUGAGAAAUUAUAUUGCAAAGAAAAAACAAGAGUCUAGGUCAACAGCUCCCUUGUUGGACAAGCCUCAGGGAAUUGUAACAAUUGUAAACAAGGUUAGUGUAACCCUAUAUCUAUGUAUAUGUCAACCCCAUGGGAUGCUAUUUAGCCACAAGGAGUAAUGUAUCAAAUUUAUAUAGGAAGCUAUGCAUUCAUUUCUGAAAUGCCCCUUCAGGGUUAUUGGAAAUGGUACAUGUUUCCUUGGGGGACAAAGGAACAAUGAGAUAAACAACACCUGUAUAAAUCUAGUCUUGCUAAAGGAAGAAAACAAUAUAUUUCAUUAGGGCAAGAAAUUAGAAAAGAUCUUGAGGAAAUUCGAGGGCAAUUCAGGCUUUAGAAACCCAACUAGAUUCACUGGCCAAUGUUGUAUUACAGAAUAGGUGUGCUCUCAAGUUGCUAACAGCCCAGAAAGAAAG
Heterocephalus glaber (naked mole-rat) is the source of this 1579-nucleotide long non-coding RNA. The record is from Ensembl. Lineage: Eukaryota; Metazoa; Chordata; Mammalia; Rodentia; Bathyergidae.